UGAUGAAAAUUCUCCGGAAUCGCUGUACCUCUUUGAUGAUCCCUUGAACCCAUGUACUCUGAUGGCUGUCUUUUAGUCCUC
Molecule: small nucleolar RNA, 81 nt
Filed under: Pogona vitticeps (central bearded dragon)
Lineage: Eukaryota; Metazoa; Chordata; Lepidosauria; Squamata; Agamidae
Description: Small nucleolar RNA MBII-202 (ENSPVIG00000011710.1)
Rfam family: Small nucleolar RNA MBII-202
About the family: MBII-202 is a member of the C/D class of snoRNA which contain the C (UGAUGA) and D (CUGA) box motifs. Most of the members of the box C/D family function in directing site-specific 2'-O-methylation of substrate RNAs.
Source: Rfam by way of RNAcentral